This 523-nucleotide ribosomal RNA is filed under the name uncultured bacterium. RNAcentral describes it as "bacterial SSU rRNA". It matches the Rfam family "Bacterial small subunit ribosomal RNA", at positions 355 to 896 of the family's 1533-position model. The record is from RNAcentral.
UGGGGAAUAUUGGACAAUGGGCGCAAGCCUGAUCCAGCCAUGCCGCGUGAGUGAUGAAGGCCCUAGGGUUGUAAAGCUCUUUUGUGCGGGAAGAUAAUGACGGUACCGCAAGAAUAAGCCCCGGCUAACUUCGUGCCAGCAGCCGCGGUAAUACGAAGGGGGCUAGCGUUGCUCGGAAUCACUGGGCGUAAAGGGUGCGUAGGCGGGUCUUUAAGUCAGGGGUGAAAUCCUGGAGCUCAACUCCAGAACUGCCUUUGAUACUGAGGAUCUUGAGUUCGGGAGAGGUGAGUGGAACUGCGAGUGUAGAGGUGAAAUUCGUAGAUAUUCGCAAGAACACCAGUGGCGAAGGCGGCUCACUGGCCCGAUACUGACGCUGAGGCACGAAAGCGUGGGGAGCAAACAGGAUUAGAUACCCUGGUAGUCCACGCCGUAAACGAAGAAUGCCAGCCGUUGGAGGGUUUACUCUCCAGUGGCGCAGCUAACGCUUUAAGCAUUCCGCCUGGGGAGUACGGUCGCAAGAUUA